RNAcentral lists this ribosomal RNA (373 nucleotides) under uncultured bacterium. RNAcentral describes it as "bacterial SSU rRNA". It matches the Rfam family "Bacterial small subunit ribosomal RNA", at positions 525 to 896 of the family's 1533-position model. The record is from RNAcentral.
ACGUAGGUGACGAGCGUUAUCCGGAUUUACUGGGCGUAAAGCGUGUGCAGGCGGUUGAGUAAGUGGUGUAUGAAAGCUCCGGGCUUAACUCGGAGAGGUUAUGCCAGACUGCUCGGCUUGAGGCAGAGAGAGGGACAUGGAAUUCCGGGUGUAGUGGUGAAAUGCGUAGAGAUCCGGAGGAACUCCAGAGGCGAAGGCGGUGUCCUAGCUCUGACCUGACGCUCAGACACGAAAGCAUGGGGAGCGAACGGGAUUAGAAACCCCGGUAGUCCAUGCCGUAAACGAUGCAGGCUAGGCGUUGGCGGUCUCAACCCCGUCGGUGCCGAAGAUAACUCGAUAAGCCUGCCGCCUGGGGACUACGAUCGCAAGAUUA